GACGAACGCUGGCGGCGUGCUUAACACAUGCAAGUCGAACGGUAAGGCCCUUCGGGGUACACGAGUGGCGAACGGGUGAGUAACACGUGGGUGAUCUGCCCUGCACUUCGGGAUAAGCCUGGGAAACUGGGUCUAAUACCGGAUAGGACCACUGCCUGCAUGGGUGGUGGUGGAAAGCUUUUGCGGUGGGGGAUGGGCCCGCGGCCUAUCAGCUUGUUGGUGGGGUGAUGGCCUACCAAGGCGACGACGGGUAGCCGGCCUGAGAGGGUGACCGGCCGCACUGGGACUGGGUUACGGCCCAGACUCCUACGGGAGGCAGCAGUGGGGAAUAUUGCACAAUGGGCGCAAGCCUGAUGCAGCGACGCCGCGUGAGGGAUGACGGCCUUCGGGUUGUAAACCUCUUUCAGCACCGACGAAGCGCAAGUGACGGUAGGUGCAGAAGAAGGACCGGCCAACUACGUGCCAGCAGCCGCCGUAA
This 478-nucleotide ribosomal RNA is filed under the name uncultured bacterium. RNAcentral describes it as "partial 16S ribosomal RNA". It matches the Rfam family "Bacterial small subunit ribosomal RNA", at positions 28 to 523 of the family's 1533-position model. The record is from RNAcentral.